CUGCCUCCAGUGUUUCCCCAUCUGACUCUCUGCCGUGUUUCCCUCGUCUCUCCUACUGAAACCCAGAAUCCUCCGAGUUCUCAGGCGAGUUGGACGGAGCUGCAGCAGUUAAUGAGUUCAGUGGAGCCCGGAAGGUUCUGGAAGCUCUCCAUGGGACGUUCCCGUAAACAUCUCUGAUGCUUCAAACCAAAGGACUGAAUAAACGGAUCAUCACUCAGCUCAGACCUGCAGACGGUGUGAUGGUGAAUUCAGGUCUGGAUGAACGGCUCCGUCGGCACGGCAACCCUCAGCUGGCAGCAUCAGAUAUGAAUCAUGGAGGAAUGAGAUGCUGCAGCUGAGCAGAGCGCCACAAACAGAACAGAGAGUCUGAUGCUGUGACUGGACCCGGCUGGCGGUCUGACCUGAUGGAGUUAACCAGUUGGAACCGGUUCCAGUUUGGGACCGGUUCCAGUUUGGGACCGGUUCCAGUGUCUGUCCAUCAGGAAGCCUUCAGUCCAGAGGAUCUGUGGUUCUGAGCUUCAGGCUGAUCGUCUCUCAGCUUCUGGGACGAAACAGAGAAAAUAAAAGCCGACGUUCCUAAUA
Molecule: long non-coding RNA, 582 nt
Organism: Poecilia latipinna (sailfin molly)
Lineage: Eukaryota; Metazoa; Chordata; Actinopteri; Cyprinodontiformes; Poeciliidae
Exons: 2
Source: RefSeq, a predicted model, not a curated record